This 286-nucleotide ribosomal RNA is filed under the name uncultured bacterium. RNAcentral describes it as "partial 16S ribosomal RNA". It matches the Rfam family "Bacterial small subunit ribosomal RNA", at positions 72 to 353 of the family's 1533-position model. The record is from RNAcentral.
AAGAAAGCUUGCUUUCUUUGCUGGCGACCGGCGCACGGGUGAGUAACACGUAUCCAACCUACCCUUUACUCGGGGAUAGCCUUUCGAAAGAAAGAUUAAUACCCGAUAGCAUAAUGAUUCCACAUGGUUUCAUUAUUAAAGGAUUCCGGUAAAGGAUGGGGAUGCGUUCCAUUAGGUUGUUGGUGGGGUAACGGCCCACCAAGCCUUCGAUGGAUAGGGGUUCUGAGAGGAAGGUCCCCCACAUUGGAACUGAGACACGGUCCAAACUCCUACGGGAGGCAGCAUG